GUUUCAUUAAUUGUUAUUCAUAUGGGCCGCGAAAACAUCGAAGUUCCAGUGUUUGUCUCUCUUCUCCGUCCAGCCGCGACCUCUGAACUUCAUCAUUGAAUCUGAAACGGUGGGAGUUAUGUUUUUUUUCGUGUGGUGUUAAAGCCUUAUUAAUUCAAUCUCCAUCAAUCAUCAAUCAUCAAUCAUCUUCACCACCCUUAGCAUUCAGAAGUGGAUCUCCCAGAUUCCUUUUAUCUCUACCAAUUGAAGUCGAGAUCUUCUGAUUGUAAAAUCAGGAACCUAGAGAGUGAGAAGCUACAUUGCCUUAUACCAGCACCUAAAGCAUAUAUGUUACGCCUCUCUCUUGGCCCAAAGAGUAUAGAUUAUGUGCCUUAUGAAGAGAUGACAACAAACAAGAGGCUACGUUCUGAAUGUGAAGGUAACGAGAGGUGUUGAUAAGGCCGAGGGAGAACUCAGUCAACAAGAGAUCUAUGUUAACGCUAGGUGAAACAACAUGCAAUAGCUUCUUCUUCAUCUCUUCAACUCUGUUCUACUCUGUUGUACUCUGUUUUCAGAAGCUGAUUAUCCCAGAGUUCAUUUCACCUUGCAGCUCAUAUGCUUUGUCGAUUGUUUUAAUUGGUGUUGGAGACGGGCGAUGGGAAGACAUGAGGAAGUUCGACGACAAUAGCCCUAAGCGUGAAUUUGACAACUUUCAGAUCAUGAAGAGAGAUUCAUCAGAGUCAGCCAAAGAAGCUGCAUUUUCUCUUGCUGCUCUAAUGGAGAUUCCCUUUCAGUAUCAAGCAGCAACUGACUCAGCCUACAAACAAGAAACAAAGGAAGAGUAACAACGGCAACAGGAGUCCAGCAGACUAAAAGAAGCAUUCUUAGAGAGGCGGAGGCCGAGGACAAUAUUAGCUGCGAGAAUUUUGAAAUAUCAAAAAGUAAACCUUCAAGAGAAUCAGUUAGAAAGGUAGUUCGUGAAGAAGAGAAGGGAGUUCUGUUGCUUGAUAAUGAUAGUGGUGGCUCUUACAAAGCGGCUGCACAUGAAAAAGAUGGAGAUAAUGCUCCUUUCCAUGAAAGUGAUGACAACAGUUCAACAUGGUACGACGAGAGAAAACUACUAUGGGCACCUUCGUCGCCACAAAAACUGAAGAUCGGUAUUGUUCUAUCCAAAGGACAAUUACCUGGUGGGCACACUGUCAUACAUGGACCAUUCGUGUUGUGUGCAGGUUGAUGUUGUCCUAAGAUUAUCAUCUCUAAGUUUUCUUGAUGCUGUAUCAAAGACAUGCAUUGAGAGCUGAAGAAGCAUCUCAUCACUGCUAGCUAUGUUGAUGAUGAAACAUCCAUGCUACAUGAUAUGACUAAGAAUGCAUGGAUAACGGUUCUUGGUGAAACGACAUCCCACAAUAGUGUGAAUCUCACUUGGCCUUUAGUGUGAAUCUCAACCCUCUUAAUAGUGCGCGUCAGAGGAAAAAUGUGCUUAACCCUAAGCCGCUUAUCCUGAAUCUCAUGUUUUAGCUCUGUAAAGAAGUUGCACACAGUGUGAGAUUUCAGUUGCCAUAAACAUUUUAAGAUAGAUCUUAAUAAAAAUAUUUUUUCUACAAUGGAAAGGCUAUAUCUCUUUAAUAUACUACAUAUGUACAUCUCUUUA
Brassica oleracea var. oleracea is the source of this 1630-nucleotide long non-coding RNA. RefSeq lists it as uncharacterized. The record is from RefSeq and is a predicted model, not a curated record. The transcript is spliced from 6 exons. NCBI's taxonomy places the organism in Eukaryota, Viridiplantae, Streptophyta, Magnoliopsida, Brassicales, Brassicaceae.